Molecule: ribosomal RNA, 761 nt
Filed under: uncultured bacterium
Lineage: Bacteria
Description: bacterial SSU rRNA
Rfam family: Bacterial small subunit ribosomal RNA
Source: RNAcentral
AUUGAACGCUGGCGGCAGGCUUAACACAUGCAAGUCGAACGGUAACAUAAGAAAAGCUUGCUUUUUUUGAUGACGAGUGGCGGACGGGUGAGUAAUGCUUGGGAAUCUGCCUUAUGGAGGGGGAUAACUACGGGAAACUGUAGCUAAUACCGCAUAAUAUCUACGGAUUAAAGUGUGGGAUCUUCGGACCAUAUACCAUAAGAUGAGCCCAAGUGAGAUUAGGUAGUUGGUGAGGUAAAGGCUCACCAAGCUGACGAUCUCUAGCUGGUUUGAGAGGAUGACCAGCCACACUGGGACUGAGACACGGCCCAGACUCCUACGGGAGGCAGCAGUGGGGAAUAUUGCACAAUGGGCGCAAGCCUGAUGCAGCCAUGCCGCGUGAAUGAAGAAGGCUUUCGGGUUGUAAAGUUCUUUCAUUAGUGAGAAAGGUAUAAAUGUUAAUAGCAUUUGUAAUUGAUGUUAGCUAAAGAAGAAGCACCGGCUAACUCCGUGCCAGCAGCCGCGGUAAUACGGAGGGUGCGAGCGUUAAUCGGAAUAACUGGGCGUAAAGGGCAUGCAGGCGGUUACUUAAGUCAGAUGUGAAAGCCCCGAGCUUAACUUGGGAAUUGCAUUUGAAACUGGGUGACUAGAGUCCUCUAGGGAGGGGUAGAAUUCCACGUGUAGCGGUGAAAUGCGUAGAGAUGUGGAGGAAUACCGAAGGCGAAGGCAGUCCCUUGGAGAGAGACUGACGCUCAUAUGCGAAAGCGUGGGUAGCAAACAGG